AAUUCAGUGAAUCAUCGAAUCUUUGAACGCACCUUGCGCCCCUUGGUUAUUCCUCAGGGCAUGCCUGUUUGAGUAUCAUGAACACCUCAACUCUCAUGGUCUUCCAUGACGAGCUUGGACUUUGGGGGUUUGCUGGCCCUGUGGCCGGCUCCUCUCAAACAAAUCANCUUGCCAGUGUUUGGCGGCGUCACGGGUGUGAUAACUAUCUACGCUCGCGGUCGUCUGCCAGGUAACCCUCANCGAUGAANGUUCAUUGGGGCUCAUAAACGUCUCUCCCCAGCNANGACAACUUUUUAACGUUCGAUCUCAAAUCAGGUAGGACUACCCGCUGAACUUAAGCAUAUCAAUAAC
This 351-nucleotide ribosomal RNA is filed under the name uncultured fungus. RNAcentral describes it as "eukaryotic LSU rRNA". The stretch from base 1 to 78 matches the Rfam family "5.8S ribosomal RNA", at positions 78 to 154 of the family's 154-position model. The record is from RNAcentral. Lineage: Eukaryota; Fungi.